CCAAGCAGUAAAAGUUGAGGAACUGCAAGCCUGGCAGUGAGCCAGCAUACUCCUUGGUCUCAGCGCACUCUGAGUCUAGAUAGCAAUGAGCUGCAGCAGGAGUGAAAGGCUGAGCGCAUGAGGGUUUCCAACCAGAGCUGAAGGAUAACAAAAAAUGAAGAAAGCAAAUAGCAGAGCUACUGGGGUCAUUUUUCCUUACAUCAGAGUAUCUCUUACGUGUUCUAAAAUAUUAAAAUCUUAGUCUAUGUGGACUUUCUUAUCCAUCAGCUACUGCUGAAGAACUAAAUUACACACAUGACAGGAAAGGGUGUGUUUAGCAUUUGGAUCUACUGUUAAUGCUGGCUCUAGUCACUGAGUAUUGGCAACUCAUCUUUAAGGGGAGUGGUUCUAGAACAGUCACCCAAACUAUGCUUAAAAGAGUCCUCUGAGAUCUGUUUAAAUUAAAAGCAUAGACAUCCAAAGAAGUUAAAUGAAUGCCCAGUAUGAGAAACAACCAGCACUCUGAGAAAAUCAUUGGACAACAAUAGCACUUCAAAAAAUAUUUUGGGUCUACUUCAAGCUAUCAAGUUUCUAGUACAAAUAGUUGCAAAAAAUGUACUUAAUUUACACCUCAAGGCGUUCACUUUGGCCACUGUCAGAGGUAGGAUGCUCAGCUGGAUGCACCUUUGUUUGAUCCAACUGCUUCUCAUUCAGAACCAAUGGUGAGCCAUUUGUUUCUUUUAAUAAUAGAUAUGUUAAUGGGACAGUAA
RNAcentral lists this long non-coding RNA (749 nucleotides) under Struthio camelus australis. Its description in RNAcentral is "lncRNA (ENSSCUG00000004701.1)". Lineage: Eukaryota; Metazoa; Chordata; Aves; Struthioniformes; Struthionidae. The record is from RNAcentral.